RNAcentral lists this ribosomal RNA (256 nucleotides) under uncultured bacterium. Its description in RNAcentral is "partial 16S ribosomal RNA". It matches the Rfam family "Bacterial small subunit ribosomal RNA", at positions 521 to 776 of the family's 1533-position model. The record is from RNAcentral.
UAAUACGGAGGAUGCGAGCGUUAUCCGGAUUUAUUGGGUUUAAAGGGUGCGUAGGCGGGACAUCAAGUCAGCGGUGAAAGUUCGUGGCUCAACCACGAAAUUGCCGUUGAAACUGUUGUUCUUGAGUGUAGAUGAGGUAGGCGGAAUUCGUAGUGUAGCGGUGAAAUGCUUAGAUAUUACGAAGAACUCCAAUUGCGUAGGCAGCUUACUAGGCUACAACUGACGCUGAGGCACGAAGGUGCGGGUAUCAAACAGG